UGCCACCUGUAAUACAUAAGUGGUACAUCCUGCCCAGUGAUUUAUUAAACGGCCGCGGUAUCCUGACCGUGCAAAGGUAGCAUAAUCAUUUGCCUAUUAAUUGUAGGCUAGUAUGAAUGGACAAACGCGGAUCUAGCUGUCUCCUUUAAGUGUAUAAAAAUUUAUCUCUAAGUGAAGAAGCUUAGAUAAUCUCGCAGGACAAGAAGACCCUAUAGAGCUUUACCUUUAAUCUUAAAAAUAAAAGAAAUACGGUUCGGUUGGGGCGACCAAGGAACAUUAAACAUCCUGUAAUUAUUAGAUUAACCAAUCUCAAUAAAGAUCCUUAUUUAAGAUCAUAGAAUCUAGCUACCUUAGGGAUAACAGGCUAAUUCCUCUAGAGAGCCCAUAUUGACAGAGGAGAUUGGCACCUCGAUGUUGGCUUAGGAUUUCUUUAUGAUGCAGCAGUCAUAAUCAGAUGGUUUGUUCAACCAUUAAAUUCCU
RNAcentral lists this ribosomal RNA (480 nucleotides) under Limnodrilus silvani. Its description in RNAcentral is "partial 16S ribosomal RNA". It matches the Rfam family "Bacterial large subunit ribosomal RNA", at positions 1829 to 2597 of the family's 2925-position model. The record is from RNAcentral. Lineage: Eukaryota; Metazoa; Annelida; Clitellata; Tubificida; Naididae.